RNAcentral lists this ribosomal RNA (630 nucleotides) under Salmonella enterica. RNAcentral's name for it is "partial 23S ribosomal RNA". It matches the Rfam family "Bacterial large subunit ribosomal RNA", at positions 2259 to 2883 of the family's 2925-position model. The record is from RNAcentral. RNAcentral also lists the same sequence under 3 other names. Lineage: Bacteria; Pseudomonadati; Pseudomonadota; Gammaproteobacteria; Enterobacterales; Enterobacteriaceae.
UGGUGGGUAGUUUGACUGGGGCGGUCUCCUCCUAAAGAGUAACGGAGGAGCACGAAGGUUGGCUAAUCCUGGUCGGACAUCAGGAGGUUAGUGCAAUGGCAUAAGCCAGCUUGACUGCGAGCGUGACGGCGCGAGCAGGUGCGAAAGCAGGUCAUAGUGAUCCGGUGGUUCUGAAUGGAAGGGCCAUCGCUCAACGGAUAAAAGGUACUCCGGGGAUAACAGGCUGAUACCGCCCAAGAGUUCAUAUCGACGGCGGUGUUUGGCACCUCGAUGUCGGCUCAUCACAUCCUGGGGCUGAAGUAGGUCCCAAGGGUAUGGCUGUUCGCCAUUUAAAGUGGUACGCGAGCUGGGUUUAGAACGUCGUGAGACAGUUCGGUCCCUAUCUGCCGUGGGCGCUGGAGAACUGAGGGGGGCUGCUCCUAGUACGAGAGGACCGGAGUGGACGCAUCACUGGUGUUCGGGUUGUCAUGCCAAUGGCACUGCCCGGUAGCUAAAUGCGGAAGAGAUAAGUGCUGAAAGCAUCUAAGCACGAAACUUGCCCCGAGAUGAGUUCUCCCUGAGACUUAGAGUCUCCUGAAGGAACGUUGAAGACGACGACGUUGAUAGGCCGGGUGUGUAAGCGCAGCGAUG